CCCUUAGAUGUUCUGGGCCGCACGCGUGCUACACUGAGUGGAUCAGCGGGUCAGGUUGCGCGAAAGCGUUUCCUAAUCUUUAAAUCCGCUCGUGAUGGGGAUUGACGGUUGCAAUUUUCUGUCAUGAACGAGGAAUACCUUGUAAGCGCGGGUCAUCAUCCCGCGCUGAAUACGUCCCUGCCCUUUGUACACACCGCCCGUCGCUACUACCGAUUGAACGGUUUAGUGAGGGCCUCGGAUUGGUCUCGGCCCGCUCUUUACCGGGCGGCGCCGUUGGUCGAGAAGACGCUCGAACUUGAUCGUUUAGAGGAAGUAAAAGUCGUAACA
Molecule: ribosomal RNA, 327 nt
Filed under: uncultured eukaryote
Lineage: Eukaryota
Description: partial 18S ribosomal RNA
Rfam family: Eukaryotic small subunit ribosomal RNA
Source: RNAcentral